GGUUAAGCGACUAAGCGUACACGGUGGAUGCCCUGGCAGUCAGAGGCGAUGAAGGACGUGCUAAUCUGCGAUAAGCGUCGGUAAGGUGAUAUGAACCGUUAUAACCGGCGAUUUCCGAAUGGGGAAACCCAGUGUGUUUCGACACACUAUCAUUAACUGAAUCCAUAGGUUAAUGAGGCGAACCGGGGGAACUGAAACAUCUAAGUACCCCGAGGAAAAGAAAUCAACCGAGAUUCCCCCAGUAGCGGCGAGCGAACGGGGAGCAGCCCAGAGCCUGAAUCAGUGUGUGUGUUAGUGGAAGCGUCUGGAAAGGCGCGCGAUACAGGGUGACAGCCCCGUACACAAAAAUGCACAUACUGUGAGCUCGAUGAGUAGGGCGGGACACGUGGUAUCCUGUCUGAAUAUGGGGGGACCAUCCUCCAAGGCUAAAUACUCCUGACUGACCGAUAGUGAACCAGUACCGUGAGGGAAAGGCGAAAAGAACCCCGGCGAGGGGAGUGAAAAAGAACCUGAAACCGUGUACGUACAAGCAGUGGGAGCCUCUUAAUGGGGUGACUGCGUACCUUUUGUAUAAUGGGUCAGCGACUUAUAUUCUGUAGCAAGGUUAACCGAAUAGGGGAGCCGAAGGGAAACCGAGUCUUAACUGGGCGUUAAGUUGCAGGGUAUAGACCCGAAACCCGGUGAUCUAGCCAUGGGCAGGUUGAAGGUUGGGUAACACUAACUGGAGGACCGAACCGACUAAUGUUGAAAAAUUAGCGGAUGACUUGUGGCUGGGGGUGAAAGGCCAAUCAAACCGGGAGAUAGCUGGUUCUCCCCGAAAGCUAUUUAGGUAGCGCCUCGUGAAUUCAUCUCCGGGGGUAGAGCACUGUUUCGGCAAGGGGGUCAUCCCGACUUACCAACCCGAUGCAAACUGCGAAUACCGGAGAAUGUUAUCACGGGAGACACACGGCGGGUGCUAACGUCCGUCGUGAAGAGGGAAACAACCCAGACCGCCAGCUAAGGUCCCAAAGUCAUGGUUAAGUGGGAAACGAUGUGGGAAGGCCCAGACAGCCAGGAUGUUGGCUUAGAAGCAGCCAUCAUUUAAAGAAAGCGUAAUAGCUCACUGGUCGAGUCGGCCUGCGCGGAAGAUGUAACGGGGCUAAACCAUGCACCGAAGCUGCGGCAGCGACACUAUGUGUUGUUGGGUAGGGGAGCGUUCUGUAAGCCUGUGAAGGUGUACUGUGAGGUAUGCUGGAGGUAUCAGAAGUGCGAAUGCUGACAUAAGUAACGAUAAAGCGGGUGAAAAGCCCGCUCGCCGGAAGACCAAGGGUUCCUGUCCAACGUUAAUCGGGGCAGGGUGAGUCGACCCCUAAGGCGAGGCCGAAAGGCGUAGUCGAUGGGAAACAGGUUAAUAUUCCUGUACUUGGUGUUACUGCGAAGGGGGGACGGAGAAGGCUAUGUUGGCCGGGCGACGGUUGUCCCGGUUUAAGCGUGUAGGCUGGUUUUCCAGGCAAAUCCGGAAAAUCAAGGCUGAGGCGUGAUGACGAGGCACUACGGUGCUGAAGCAACAAAUGCCCUGCUUCCAGGAAAAGCCUCUAAGCAUCAGGUAACAUCAAAUCGUACCCCAAACCGACACAGGUGGUCAGGUAGAGAAUACCAAGGCGCUUGAGAGAACUCGGGUGAAGGAACUAGGCAAAAUGGUGCCGUAACUUCGGGAGAAGGCACGCUGAUAUGUAGGUGAAGUCCCUUGCGGAUGGAGCUGAAAUCAGUCGAAGAUACCAACUGGCUGCAACUGUUUAUUAAAAACACAGCACUGUGCAAACACGAAAGUGGACGUAUACGGUGUGACGCCUGCCCGGUGCCGGAAGGUUAAUUGAUGGGGUUAGCGGUAACGCGAAGCUCUUGAUCGAAGCCCCGGUAAACGGCGGCCGUAACUAUAACGGUCCUAAGGUAGCGAAAUUCCUUGUCGGGUAAGUUCCGACCUGCACGAAUGGCGUAAUGAUGGCCAGGCUGUCUCCACCCGAGACUCAGUGAAAUUGAACUCGCUGUGAAGAUGCAGUGUACCCGCGGCAAGACGGAAAGACCCCGUGAACCUUUACUAUAGCUUGACACUGAACAUUGAGCCUUGAUGUGUAGGAUAGGUGGGAGGCUUUGAAGUGUGGACGCCAGUCUGCAUGGAGCCGGCCUUGAAAUACCACCCUUUAAUGUUUGAUGUUCUAACGUUGGCCCCUGAUCGGGGUUGCGGACAGUGUCUGGUGGGUAGUUUGACUGGGGCGGUCUCCUCCUAAAGAGUAACGGAGGAGCACGAAGGUUGGCUAAUCCUGGUCGGACAUCAGGAGGUUAGUGCAAUGGCAUAAGCCAGCUUGACUGCGAGCGUGACGGCGCGAGCAGGUGCGAAAGCAGGUCAUAGUGAUCCGGUGGUUCUGAAUGGAAGGGCCAUCGCUCAACGGAUAAAAGGUACUCCGGGGAUAACAGGCUGAUACCGCCCAAGAGUUCAUAUCGACGGCGGUGUUUGGCACCUCGAUGUCGGCUCAUCACAUCCUGGGGCUGAAGUAGGUCCCAAGGGUAUGGCUGUUCGCCAUUUAAAGUGGUACGCGAGCUGGGUUUAGAACGUCGUGAGACAGUUCGGUCCCUAUCUGCCGUGGGCGCUGGAGAACUGAGGGGGGCUGCUCCUAGUACGAGAGGACCGGAGUGGACGCAUCACUGGUGUUCGGGUUGUCAUGCCAAUGGCACUGCCCGGUAGCUAAAUGCGGAAGAGAUAAGUGCUGAAAGCAUCUAAGCACGAAACUUGCCCCGAGAUGAGUUCUCCCUGACUCUUUAAGGGUCCUGAAGGAACGUUGAAGACGACGACGUUGAUAGGCCGGGUGUGUAAGCGCAGCGAUGCGUUGAGCUAACCGGUACUAAUGAACCGUGAGGCUUAACCUU
Molecule: ribosomal RNA, 2904 nt
Filed under: Escherichia coli
Lineage: Bacteria; Pseudomonadati; Pseudomonadota; Gammaproteobacteria; Enterobacterales; Enterobacteriaceae
Description: 23S ribosomal RNA
Rfam family: Bacterial large subunit ribosomal RNA
Source: RNAcentral